GACGAACGCUGGCGGCGUGCCUAAUACAUGCAAGUAGAACGCUGAAGAGAGGAGCUUCCUCUUCUUGGAUGAGUUGCGAACGGGUGAGUAACGCGUAGGUAACCUGCCUUGUAGCGGGGGAUAACUAUUGGAAACGAUAGCUAAUACCGCAUAACAAUGGAUGACACAUGUCAUUUAUUUGAAGGGGGCAAUUGCUCCACUACAAGAUGGACCUGCGUUGUAUUAGCUAGUAGGUGAGGUAAUGGCUCACCUAGGCGACGAUACAUAGCCGACCUGAGAGGGUGAUCGGCCACACUGGGACUGAGACACGGCCCAGACUCCUACGGGAGGCAGCAGUAGGGAAUCUUCGGCAAUGGGGGCAACCCUGACCGAGCAACGCCGCGUGAGUGAAGAAGGUUUUCGGAUCGUAAAGCUCUGUUGUAAGUCAAGAACGGGUGUGAGAGUGGAAAGUUCACACUGUGACGGUAGCUUACCAGAAAGGGACGGCUAACUACGUG
Molecule: ribosomal RNA, 497 nt
Filed under: uncultured bacterium
Lineage: Bacteria
Description: partial 16S ribosomal RNA
Rfam family: Bacterial small subunit ribosomal RNA
Source: RNAcentral